This 255-nucleotide ribosomal RNA is filed under the name uncultured bacterium. RNAcentral describes it as "partial 16S ribosomal RNA". It matches the Rfam family "Bacterial small subunit ribosomal RNA", at positions 524 to 777 of the family's 1533-position model. The record is from RNAcentral.
UACGAAGGGGGGCUAGCGUUGCUCGGAAUCACUGGGCGUAAAGCGCACGUAGGCGGAUUGUUAAGUCAGGGGUGAAAUCCUGGAGCUCAACUCCAGAACUGCCUUUGAUACUGAGGAUCUCGAGUUCGGGAGAGGUGAGUGGAACUGCGAGUGUAGAGGUGAAAUUCGUAGAUAUUCGCAAGAACACCAGUGGCGAAGGCGGCUCACUGGUCCGGUACUGACGCUGAGGUGCGAAAGCCAGGGGAGCAAAGCGGG